This 103-nucleotide small nuclear RNA is filed under the name Ailuropoda melanoleuca (giant panda). The record is from RNAcentral. Lineage: Eukaryota; Metazoa; Chordata; Mammalia; Carnivora; Ursidae.
UUGCUUGGGCAGCACAUAGACUAAAAUUGGAAUAAUACAGAGAAGAUUAGCAUGGCCGCUGUGCAAGGAUGGCAUACAAAUUUGUGAAGCGUUCCAUAUUUUU